RNAcentral lists this ribosomal RNA (253 nucleotides) under uncultured bacterium. RNAcentral's name for it is "partial 16S ribosomal RNA". It matches the Rfam family "Bacterial small subunit ribosomal RNA", at positions 524 to 776 of the family's 1533-position model. The record is from RNAcentral.
UACGUAGGUCCCAAGCAUUAUCCGGAAUUAUUGGGCGUAAAGCGUCUGUAGGCUGAUAUUUAAGUUGACAAUGAAAGGCCGGGGCUUAACCUCGAGUUUGUUGUCAAAACUGAAUAUCUAGGAUUAGGGAGAGGUAAGCAGAAUUCUAAGUGUAGGGGUGCAAUCCGUAGAUACUUAGAGGAAUACCAAAAGCGAAGGCAGCUUACUGGAACUAUAUCGACGCUGAGAGACGAAAGCGUGGGGAGCGAAAAGG